AACGAACGCUGGCGGCAUGCCUAACACAUGCAAGUCGAACGAGACCUUCGGGUCUAGUGGCGCACGGGUGCGUAACGCGUGGGAACCUGCCCUUAGGUUCGGAAUAACUCCCCGAAAGGGGUGCUAAUACCGGAUAAUGUCUUCGGACCAAAGAUUUAUCGCCUCUGGAUGGGCCCGCGUUGGAUUAGCUAGUUGGUAGGGUAAAAGCCUACCAAGGCGACGAUCCAUAGCUGGUCUGUGAGGAUGAUCAGCCACACUGGGACUGAGACACGGCCCAGACUCCUACGGGAGGCAGCAGUGGGGAAUAUUGGACGAGGGACGAAAGCCUGAUCCAGCAAUGCCGCGUGAGUGAUGAAGGCCUUAGGGUUGUAAAGCUCUUGUACCCGGGAUGAUAAUGACAGUACCGGGAGAAUAAGCACCGGCUAACUACGUG
Molecule: ribosomal RNA, 433 nt
Filed under: uncultured bacterium
Lineage: Bacteria
Description: partial 16S ribosomal RNA
Rfam family: Bacterial small subunit ribosomal RNA
Source: RNAcentral